CAUUUCAGUCGUUCUUAUUCAUAGUUCUGUUGUAACAGUUUUUGUUUUAGGAAUAAACGUGUCUAAAAUAUAAACUGAGUAUAUAAACGUCAUACGAUAGAUCAGAAGGUGUGUAGCUACUGAGAAAUUUGAAGUUGAUAGUUUGAAAACAGGGGCGAGAGAUACCAGAGGAACAGCCAAAUUCAUAAAUCGAAAAUAUACUGACAACGCCACUGCUAAAAAUGAAACAGAGAAACAGACAAAUAAUAGUACACAAGAAACAACAUAGAACAUUAAAGACUGAGCAACACGAACCCCACCAAAAACUGGGGUGAUCUCAAGUGCUCCAGAAUGGAAAGUUGACAACACC
This 349-nucleotide long non-coding RNA is filed under the name Mytilus galloprovincialis (Mediterranean mussel). The record is from RNAcentral. Lineage: Eukaryota; Metazoa; Mollusca; Bivalvia; Mytilida; Mytilidae.